RNAcentral lists this ribosomal RNA (497 nucleotides) under uncultured bacterium. Its description in RNAcentral is "partial 16S ribosomal RNA". It matches the Rfam family "Bacterial small subunit ribosomal RNA", at positions 29 to 507 of the family's 1533-position model. The record is from RNAcentral.
AGUGAACGCUGGCGGCAGGCCUAAUACAUGCAAGUCGAGCGACAGCACGAUAAGAGUUCGCCUCUACGGGUGGCGAGUGACGGGCGGGUAAGACAUAGAUAGCAUACCUCUAUUACGGGGGGGACAUCGGGGAGCAAGUUACACUACUAGCGAAUAUGUUGUACGGGAUAAAGCAAGGGAGCAUGGCACCUUUCGCGUCAGAAAUAGACGGUGCCGUGUCGCAUUAGCUAGUUGGUAAGGUAACGGCUCACCAAGGCGACGAUGCGUAGCCGAUCUGAGAGGAUGAUCAGCCACACUGGAACUGAGACACGGUCCAGACUCCUACGGGAGGCAGCAGUGGGGAAUCUUCGACAAUGGGCGCAAGCCUGAUCCAGCCACGCCGCGUGAGUGAAGAAGGCCUUCGGGUUGUAAAGCCCUUUUGUUAGGGAAGAAAAGCAGCAUGUGUAUCCCCGGCUGUUCUGACGGUACCCAAAGAAUAAGCCCCGGCUAACUACGUG